Amphiprion ocellaris (clown anemonefish) is the source of this 4638-nucleotide long non-coding RNA. RefSeq lists it as uncharacterized. The record is from RefSeq and is a predicted model, not a curated record. The transcript has 3 exons. Lineage: Eukaryota; Metazoa; Chordata; Actinopteri; Pomacentridae.
CGUUAGCUGUGCGCAGCACAUGACUUGUAAAAAUGAUGCGUAUUUUGCGCGGAAUGCUUUCGGCGGCGUUCCAUGUAUAUUAUACUUUCUUUACUUUUCUCCAACUCAAAACAAACAACUUCUCAUGAAUACAGACUUACAUGUCACUGGAAUGAUCAAUUCCUUCGAUAAGAUCGGCUUCAUCCGCGCUGGUGGCAGAAUCCGGGCCAGACGAGUGGCUGGACUCUUCAUCCGACGCUGUAGUUUGCUGGAGAGCUUCGCCAGAUGUAAAAUAGUUUGGCGCGACCAGGUUUUCGCGGCUCCUCAACUAAUGUGUGGAAGUGUGUCAAAGGUGUGUGUGGUGGGUCCGUGUACGGAUCUGGUAAUUGGAUUUUCCGUUCUGAAACGGGUAUUGAAAAACAAAAAACGAGUGGUUAUUUGAUUUUCGUUUUAAAAUACAAAAAUUAAAAUUGAAAUACAAGGCGUUUUUCCUUUUCAUGAUCAAAAAGGGAUAUACGAUUUUUUUUUAAAUGCUUUGAUUUUCGUUUUAUAUUUAGAAUAACAAGAAAGUAAAAUCAGUAAGAGACAGAAACGAAAAAAUGUCCGUUUUUUCAUUUUCUGAGACCGGAAGUGGUCAUCAGCAAGUGUGGAGCCAAACGACAACAAGAUUCUCAGAGGGCGGAGCCAGAGAGCAGUGAUUGGUCAGACCAUAGAUAAUAUAGAAGACAGCGCGCUAGCGUAUCUAGUCUAUGUAUAUCUAUGGUCGGCACGUCUGGUAGCAUCUCUGGCUGCUGUUGAUCUUGUUUUUGGAGUAAAACACGGUAAGAAGAUAAAUACUUCUAACCAGUAGCGUUGUUUUGUUGUACGUUAAGUCAGCGACUUGUGAAGAGUUGUGUUUUGUCGUGUUUGAGCAGUUGGUCCGGACGCGUUAGCUAGCUAAGCGGCUAAGUUAGCUAGCGGGCUAAUUAACACAGGUGGCUAACUUACCGCUGAACACCUGUGUUAGUUGCUGCAGCAGCUGUCCUCAUUAUUAGAAUGACCUUCUCAACCUGUAUUUCUCUGCUGUGUAUUUUAGCUUUUAAAAAAGUUAUUUUACUUUAAGGUUAACUGAAACCCGUUCAGCUGCACUGAAGUUUAACAUUCAGCUGGUUUGAAUUAAACCGCGCUUAACUUAACAUUGCGCAACAUUACCUCUCUGAAUCUCCAUAAUUUCAUUAAAUUCCUUCUCUCUUCCACUGCUCAAGUUCAAUCCAGUAUAUAAAAUGACAUUAAUAGUGAAUAAACUAACAACCAGCCAUUGUAUUUAUUUAUUACUGCAUGUAUUUGUAGUAAAACAUGAGUUGAAACAUCCUACUUUUGGAUCUAGAACUGCACAAGCCGUUCAUUUUCAGUCACCUGAUGAGUUAAACUCCCCUUUUUAUGUGAGGUUGAAGCAGAAAGUCUGAGUUAACAAAGAAAGUUCUUUAUAAUUUGCGAUACCUGUUAUCUCUGACUGAGGCUUUAGUUUUUGUUGAGCUGAUUUACACGUAGAAACUUUGUUCAGGAAAAUUUCUCAGUAGCUCAGAGGACAGGCUGCUUUUUACACAACCUUGUAAGAGAAUGUCUGUCAAUGCUUUCAGCAGAAUUUAGAAACACAACACUUCCUAAACAGAUAUUUUGAGGCUGUGAGGUUGAACGUUUGAGAGUAUAUCAGUGUGUUUGUUUGUGGUCUUUCUGUUUCUAGGUGGAAGCUGAAUUAGUGAGGAUGACUCCUGCUCCUGUCAUCUCUAAGCUCCUCACACAUCUUUACCUGCACAUGAGGAAAAUCACUCCUGUAGAAUGCAGAUGUUCAGAGGGAGAUGAUGCCACAUCUGGUCCAGCUGAUGGAAGGUCUUGAAGUUCUCUGACUGGCCUCGACUGAAGAUGGUCGUCUCACUGGAUUUAAGGUUCAGAUGCUCAGUAACAAACUCCACCAAUGAGCCAACAGGGAAGCUUUAGGUUUAUUAAAUGUUGCUAUGAAGGUAUCGCUGUUUUUCUUUGUGAAUGCAAUGUGCUCCAACUGAAACUUGAAUUAGAACUUAGAAGUAAAUCCUUCCAUCUGAAAGGAUUUAGUUGCAUUAAUAACCUCAUAACAUUCUAAUUUUUAUUCCAGUCUUGGUUGGAAAUAGAAUCUCUGUAUUGAUUCAGGUAAAAACUGAACUUCACAGCAUGUUGGAGCAAAACAACCAGAUGAAAACUGUGAUGGUGUUGGAUUGUCAGACCGUAAUGUUGCAGCUCAAAGCAGCUUUUCUAUCUCAGUUCAUUCUGACAUUCAGCUAUGAAUCAACACAGCAGAUGGUGAUCCAUGCUGUGGAAGUCUCACAUCUCCUGAUUUAAUGGAGCUGCUUUGCACUUUUUACACUGUUUAUUCACCAACACUUUAUUUAAUAAAAGUCCCAUCUAGUUUUUAUGAGGAAUGUGAUGUUUUAAUUUCUCUGUGAAUAACUGCAGUCUAAUGCAACAGCUGGAGUUGUAACAUCUGUCCUGAUAUUGAUCAUGAAGUAUUGAUCAGAAUACUUAUGGUCAGCAGUCAUCCCUGAAGUUUUACAUUAAAAUCUUUACUUGUGUUGUGAACUUUGGUAAGAAGCAGAAACGUUAGCGUUGCCAUGGAUACAUGAGUGUUAAAUUCUGUCCAUGUUUCCAUUUUGGGAAAUGCAGUCCAGUUCCAGAAUGUGGAGGAAUUUAGUCUCACAAUCACAGACAACAAAUAUUAUCUGAAAGUCGGGUUAUUGUUGUUUAUCAGCACAAUACAAAAAGAUUAAUGUUAGAAAUAUUCCAGUUAAGACUCUAGAAUAUCAUGAUUUAUGUAAAUUUACCUCAAUAAUAUGAAUGUUCAGGUUAAGAUUGUACAGUGAUAUUUAUUAUGUAAGUUUAGCUGAUUAAAGUUUAUGACUCUGCACUAAAAUAUUAUUUAAAUUGACAUCAUUAUUAUAAUAUUUAGGGUCAGACCCUACAGUAUUGAGAUUAAGAAAUCAAAUAUUCUAUAAAAUGUAAAUACACUGAACUCAUUUGGAUAUAUUUAAGUGAGACUCUACAAUAUUAUUUGACACAAAUCUAUCUAAAUCAAAAUUUUAAUAAUUUUCACGCCAAACAUUUACUGGACUGAUUUAAAUAUUAAAAUCACUCCUUUCUAAUCCUCUGCUGUACGUUCAAACCUGAGGCCUUAAAUAGAAACACACAAGUAUCUGAUUGAAGGAACUUCUGUAGAGUCCUGGUUCCAGAACAUGAUGAUAGAAUUAUAGACAAACUUUAACAAAAGCUGCCUGAGAGUUUACAGGUUUUUAUGUUGGAUUUCUUCAGUAAUUUAAUGAGCGUUAUCAGCAAUAAUCAAGUGUUCAUUUGAUGAACUUCAUUUCCUAAAACAUCCAGAAUUGGAGCUCAUAUCUUUGGCAGCUGUAAAGUUUCUGCUCCUUCAAAGUUCACAACACAAUGAAUUAAUUCCUAAAACACUCUCAAUGCUGGAGAGCGUUUGAUGCUGAAGCAGUGACCAGUUUUUCUGUUUCUUCUCUGGAGAUGCACAAUGAGGGACGUCUGCAGCGACUGAGAAAGAGUCUCACCACAUCCUGACAUGAGGAAAAAGACUUUAUUGAAGACUACAAUGAGAAAAACUAUCAGACAGCAGACGGCUGCAUUCAAGGUGAGCUCUGAACAUUUGAUCUGGAACAGGAAUUCAAUAACGGCAGCAUGAGCUUCAUUUCAGUCUGUAGCUGCUGAAUUCAUGGAUGAAUCAUCUGGCACUAGAGAGGAAGACCAUCAAACAUCCACGUCAGCUGAUGGAGGUCCAAGAGUCUCACCAAACAAACAACCUACAGAGUGAAGACCUCAAAUCUGAUUGGACGGCCUCCUAUUCAGCCACAUUUUAGGCUGUUAGAUUGUUCCAGAUAAGACAAGUACAAGAUUCUUCAGAGCCGUUCUACCACGAGCCUGACAGGAAGAACUCCAACAGCUACUGAAUGUUCCUGUGGUUCCCUCAAGGCUACAGGAGGAGCCCUACGAGGACGAGCCGGUCCACCUGAUGGCGGCCAGUCGCUGCAGUUCAAAGCCAACACCGACUACGUGGACUUCUACUGGACCACAUGGAGGCCUUCAAACUGGACCAACAAGUUCAGCGACUCCCCGACUCGUGGGUCUGAGGACGCCACCGAGCCUCGGCCCAGCCGGCCUCCUGUCUGUGGGUGUUUGAGUGCUGAGAGGUUUGUGGAUGCAUGUGAACGUGUCUGUGUUGAAACAGCAGCUUUUGACUCAGUAACGCCGGGAAAAACCAAGAGCUCCUUUAUUUGUGACUUCCACUAAAAAACUGAUGAAAAUAAGUUUGCUAGGGUUCUGACUGAUAACAGAUUAUUAAAUAAUGAAAAUAAUCAUUUAUAUAUUCCUUUAAACAAUCCUUUUAGGUCUACAUUUCCUUUACAAUGACUUCUUGGUAUAUGUACAAGUAUUUUGGGUGGAAUAUACCAUUAAGCCCAAUGUUCAAGGGUUCUUCUGGGAAUAUAUCAUUAAACCAACCUUUUAGGUAAAUGUUCCAGGAUGUUGGGUAGAAUAUACCAUCAGAUCAAUCUUGUAGGUCUACAUUGGAAGAUUUUAGAGUAGAAUAUUACUCCAAACCAUCCUUUAGGUCUACAUUUAAGGUGGAAUACUACUUUA